UACGUAGGGGGCUAGCGUUGUCCGGAAUCAUUGGGCGUAAAGAGCGUGUAGGCGGUCCGGUAAGUCCGCUGUGAAAGUCGGGGGCUCAACCCUCGAAUGCCGGUGGAUACUGUCGGGCUAGAGUGCGGAAGAGGCGAGUGGAAUUCCUGGUGUAGCGGUGAAAUGCGCAGAUAUCAGGAGGAACACCGGUGGCGAAGGCGGGUCUCUGGGCCGAUAUCGACGCUGGAGGAGCGGAAAGCGUGGGGAGCGAACAGG
RNAcentral lists this ribosomal RNA (255 nucleotides) under uncultured bacterium. RNAcentral's name for it is "partial 16S ribosomal RNA". It matches the Rfam family "Bacterial small subunit ribosomal RNA", at positions 524 to 776 of the family's 1533-position model. The record is from RNAcentral.